UACAGAGGGUGCGAGCGUUAAUCGGAAUUACUGGGCGUAAAGCGCACGUAGGCGGCUUGGUAUGUCGGGUGUGAAAUCCCCGGGCUCAACCUGGGAACUGCAUCCGAAACUGCCUUGCUAGAGUAUGGGAGAGGGAAGUGGAAUUUCCGGUGUAGCGGUGAAAUGCGUAGAUAUCGGAAGGAACAUCAGCGGCGAAGGCGACUUCCUGGACCAAUACUGACGCUCAGGUGCGAAAGCGUGGGGAGCAAACAGG
RNAcentral lists this ribosomal RNA (253 nucleotides) under uncultured bacterium. Its description in RNAcentral is "partial 16S ribosomal RNA". It matches the Rfam family "Bacterial small subunit ribosomal RNA", at positions 524 to 776 of the family's 1533-position model. The record is from RNAcentral.